GUGGAUUAGAUACCCUGGUAGUCCACGCCCUAAACGAUGUCAACUAGUUGUCGGGUCUUAAUUGACUUGGUAACGCAGCUAACGCGUGAAGUUGACCGCCUGGGGAGUACGGUCGCAAGAUUAAAACUCAAAGGAAUUGACGGGGACCCGCACAAGCGGUGGAUGAUGUGGAUUAAUUCGAUGCAACGCGAAAAACCUUACCUACCCUUGACAUGGCAGGAAUCCUUGAGAGAUCAGGGAGUGCUCGAAAGAGAACCUGCACACAGGUGCUGCACGGCCGUCGACAACU
This 289-nucleotide ribosomal RNA is filed under the name uncultured bacterium. RNAcentral describes it as "partial 16S ribosomal RNA". It matches the Rfam family "Bacterial small subunit ribosomal RNA", at positions 773 to 1060 of the family's 1533-position model. The record is from RNAcentral.